This 251-nucleotide ribosomal RNA is filed under the name uncultured Gardnerella sp. RNAcentral describes it as "partial 16S ribosomal RNA". It matches the Rfam family "Bacterial small subunit ribosomal RNA", at positions 107 to 356 of the family's 1533-position model. Lineage: Bacteria; Bacillati; Actinomycetota; Actinomycetes; Bifidobacteriales; Bifidobacteriaceae. The record is from RNAcentral.
UAGAGUAAUGCGUGACCAACCUCGCCCCAUGCUCCAGAAUAGCUCUUGGGAAACGGGUGGUAAUGCUGGAUGCUCCAACUUGACGCAUGUCUUGUUGGGAAAGUGUUUAGUGGCAUGGGAUGGGGUCGCGUCCUAUCAGCUUGUAGGCGGGGUAAUGGCCCACCUAGGCUUCGACGGGUAGCCGGCCUGAGAGGGCGGACGGCCACAUUGGGACUGAGAUACGGCCCAGACUCCUACGGGAGGCAGCAGCG